Molecule: non-coding RNA, 27 nt
Filed under: Mus musculus (house mouse)
Lineage: Eukaryota; Metazoa; Chordata; Mammalia; Rodentia; Muridae
Source: RNAcentral
UAGGUUGCUGAAAGGUCAGGUCUGCUG